GGCGGUCCUUCAAGUCCGUGUGUGUAAUUCCAGGGCUCAACCCUGGAACUGCGCCGGAUACUGCUGGACUAGAGGGCGAGCGGAGAGAGCGGAACUCCCGGUGUAGCGGUGGAAUGCGCAGAUAUCGGGGGGAACACCAGUAGCGAAGGCGGCUCUCUAGCUCGCUCCUGACGCUGAGGCCCGAAAGCCAGGGGAGCGAAGGGGAUUAGAUACCCCCGUAGUCCUGGCCCUAAACUAUGCACGCUAGGUGUCGGGUCCCUUGAGGACUCGGUGCCGCAGGGAAACCAUUAAGCGUGCCGCCUGGGGAGUACGCUCGCAAGGGUGAAACUCAAAGGAAUUGACGGGGGCCUGCACAAGCGGCGGAGCGCGUGGUUCAAUUCGAUGCUCACCGAAGAACCUCACCUGGGCUUGACAUGCUGGUGGUACCCCGGGUGAAAGCCCGGGGGACCUUCGGGAGCCAGCACAGGUGUUGCACGGCAGUCGUCAGCUCGUGCCGUGAGGUGUUGGGUUAAGUCCCGCAACGAGCGCAACCCCUGCCAUUAGUUGCUAUUGGCGAUCAUGUAUCGUCAAGCACUCUAAUGGGACUGCCGGCGGUGAGCCGGAGGAAGGCGGGGAUGACGUCAUGUCCGUGUGGCCUUUAUGUCCAGGGCUACACACGCGCUACAAUGGCCGGCACAAAAGGAAGCAAUACCGCGAGGUGGAGCAAAUCCCAAAAACCGGCCUCAGUUCGGAUUGCAGGCUGCAACCCG
RNAcentral lists this ribosomal RNA (749 nucleotides) under uncultured bacterium. RNAcentral's name for it is "bacterial SSU rRNA". It matches the Rfam family "Bacterial small subunit ribosomal RNA", at positions 574 to 1314 of the family's 1533-position model. The record is from RNAcentral.